RNAcentral lists this ribosomal RNA (486 nucleotides) under uncultured bacterium. Its description in RNAcentral is "partial 16S ribosomal RNA". It matches the Rfam family "Bacterial small subunit ribosomal RNA", at positions 30 to 507 of the family's 1533-position model. The record is from RNAcentral.
AUUGAACGCUGGCGGCAUGCCUUACACAUGCAAGUCGAACGGCAGCACGGGUGCUUGCACCUGGUGGCGAGUGGCGAACGGGUGAGUAAUACAUCGGAACAUGUCCUGUAGUGGGGGAUAGCCCGGCGAAAGCCGGAUUAAUACCGCAUACGAUCCACGGAUGAAAGCGGGGGACCUUCGGGCCUCGCGCUAUAGGGUUGGCCGAUGGCUGAUUAGCUAGUUGGUGGGGUAAAGGCCUACCAAGGCGACGAUCAGUAGCUGGUCUGAGAGGACGACCAGCCACACUGGGACUGAGACACGGCCCAGACUCCUACGGGAGGCAGCAGUGGGGAAUUUUGGACAAUGGGCGAAAGCCUGAUCCAGCAAUGCCGCGUGCGUGAAGAAGGACUUCGGGUUGUAAAGCACUUUUGUCCGGAAAGAAAUCCUUGACUCUAAUACAGUCGGGGGAUGACGGUACCGGAAGAAUAAGCACCGGCUAACUACGUG